Molecule: ribosomal RNA, 207 nt
Filed under: uncultured bacterium
Lineage: Bacteria
Description: partial 16S ribosomal RNA
Rfam family: Bacterial small subunit ribosomal RNA
Source: RNAcentral
CUCGUAGGCGGUUCGUCGCGUCCGGUGUGAAAGUCCAUCGCUUAACGGUGGAUCCGCGCCGGGUACGGGCGGGCUUGAGUGCGGUAGGGGAGACUGGAAUUCCCGGUGUAACGGUGGAAUGUGUAGAUAUCAGGAGGAACACCGGUGGCGAAGGCGGGUCUCUGGGCCGUUACUGACGCUGAGGAGCGAAAGCGUGGGGAGCGAACA